CAAGGCGUGGAAACAGCCUAAAUGUCCAAUGAUGGAUGAAUGGAUAAAGAAAGUGUGGUGUAUACAUACAGGGAAAUAUUUCUCAGGCUUAAAAAAAGAGAAAUCCUGCCAUGUGAGACAACAUGGAUGCACCUGGAGGACAUUAUACUAGUGAAAGAAGCCCAUCACAGAAGGACAAAUGCUGCCUGGUUCCACUUACAGGAGGGAUGCUGUCUUUGGGGAAAUCAAAGUCAAGAGAAUGAUCAGGAUAGUGAUGUUAUUUUCCAUUUAUAAAUGGAGGGAAAAAAAGCAUGUGAAUUAAAAAAUGACACCAUGCAGAUUACUCGGUACAAACCAUUUUCGCGGGAAAAAGCCUGAUGAAUGUGAAGAUGCACAGGAAGGUCCCUCUAGUGGAGUGAGGCUCUAGCACGUCUGCCAUAUGCUAUCCCUCUGUUUUUCUUUUCAUAUUCCUUAGGCAGAUUCCUUCGUUUCCCCAAGGAAAAGGGGGCUUCCUCAAGUUCGAAGCAGAAGCAAAACCUAACAACAGUGGCAGAAGGUAAAGGAACCCAGGGACCAAGUGCAGCAUGCCAGAGCUGCACACAUUCUUGGCAAUAAAAAAAAAAAAUGCAGAUUUUCUAGGUGGAAGUAAUUUCCAUGGAGCGGGCAGAGGUUCUUUGGCAGCUGCCCUCACAAAUAGAUUUUAGUUUUACUUUUGGACUUUUGGGUCACAGAUAUUUUCAACAAUAGAUCCAGUUGGAAUUGAAUUAAUAAACUCUUGAUAUGCAAAGAGGUCAGCCCUUGAAGUUCAGGUGAACAAUUAGCAUUCCCUUAGGUCGGCUCUGGUCUCGCUAAAGAGGAGUUUCAGAGGCCACCUAAGAGGCCAAGCAUGUCAGCACUUGCAGCCCGUGUUGUAAAAGCCAAGAAAAUGAUUCUCAACUCAGAGAUGACUGCAGAUAAGGCUGCUGUUUGAGGCAUUUUGAAAGUAAUAGUGUGAAAAGGGCCUUAUCUACUAUAAUUUCUGGCAUGUGGGGGAAAAAAAUGUAAGCUGCUCUUCCAAGUGCCUUAAGGAAUGGAAUUCAGAUUCAAAUCCAAGAAUAUUAAGAGACUCCAGAAAAAGCAGAUUUUCCCACACCUUUGCUUCAUUUCAGUUAAAAACAACGCUUGCAACGUUGAGGAUGGGUUCCAUUUUAUUGCUGGCAAUCGCUCUACAGCAGAAUUUAUUCUCUUUUUGAAAUGACAGAAGGGUCAAAAUAGAAUAUUUAUCUACUUUUAAAAGACACUAGCUUCUGUGUCUCCUGUCUUCUGUGUUCUAUUGUCUCUACUAUGAUGGUUUUAUCCCCCAGGGGACAUUUAGCCAUGUCUGGAGACACUUUUGGUUGUGUUGGGGUAGGAGGUACUGCUGGCAUCUAGUGGGUAGAGGCCAGGGAGGCUGCUAAACAUCCUAUGAUGCACAGGACUGUCACCACCACAAAGAAUCCACCCCAAAUGUCAGUAGUGUUGCUGCUGAGAAACCCUGGUCUCUUGGACACGUCUUCUUCCAUCCCCUACAUGCUCCUCCAGCAGCCAACUCCGUACCCAUGUAUGGAAAUGGAUGAUGCCAACUGU
Long non-coding RNA from Mesoplodon densirostris (Blainville's beaked whale), 1584 nucleotides. RefSeq lists it as uncharacterized. NCBI's taxonomy places the organism in Eukaryota, Metazoa, Chordata, Mammalia, Artiodactyla, Ziphiidae. The record is from RefSeq and is a predicted model, not a curated record. The transcript has 3 exons.